Molecule: small nuclear RNA, 122 nt
Filed under: Pelodiscus sinensis (Chinese soft-shelled turtle)
Lineage: Eukaryota; Metazoa; Chordata; Testudines; Trionychidae
Description: U1 spliceosomal RNA (ENSPSIG00000019533.1)
Rfam family: U1 spliceosomal RNA
About the family: U1 is a small nuclear RNA (snRNA) component of the spliceosome (involved in pre-mRNA splicing). Its 5' end forms complementary base pairs with the 5' splice junction, thus defining the 5' donor site of an intron.
Source: RNAcentral
GUACUUACCUGGCUGGGAAAUACCACGCUUAGGAAGAUGGUUUUCUUAGGGUGAGGCCCAUCCAUUGCACUGUGGCGCUGAUGCCUGCGAUUUCCUCAAGUAGAGGAAACUCGACUGCCUUC